This 497-nucleotide ribosomal RNA is filed under the name uncultured bacterium. Its description in RNAcentral is "partial 16S ribosomal RNA". It matches the Rfam family "Bacterial small subunit ribosomal RNA", at positions 28 to 507 of the family's 1533-position model. The record is from RNAcentral.
GAUGAACGCUGGCGGCGUGCCUAAUACAUGCAAGUCGAGCGAACAGACGAGGAGCUUGCUCCUCUGACGUUAGCGGCGGACGGGUGAGUAACACGUGGAUAACCUACCUAUAAGACUGGGAUAAAUUCGGGAAACCGGAGCUAAUACCGGAUAAUAUAUUGAACCGCAAGGUUCAAUAGUGAAAGACGGUUUUGCUGUCACUUAUAGAUGGAUCCGCGCCGCAUUAGCUAGUUGGUAAGGUAACGGCUUACCAAGGCAACGAUGCGUAGCCGACCUGAGAGGGUGAUCGGCCACACUGGAACUGAGACACGGUCCAGACUCCUACGGGAGGCAGCAGUAGGGAAUCUUCCGCAAUGGGCGAAAGCCUGACGGAGCAACGCCGCGUGAGUGAUGAAGGUCUUCGGAUCGUAAAACUCUGUUAUUAGGGAAGAACAAAUGUGUAAGUAACUAUGCACGUCUUGACGGUACCUAAUCAGAAAGCCACGGCUAACUACGUG